GGGAAUGUAGCUCAGUGGCAGAGUGCUUGCCUAGCAUGUAAGAGGACCUGGGUUCAAUCCCCAGUACCA
This 69-nucleotide transfer RNA is filed under the name Cavia porcellus (domestic guinea pig). It matches the Rfam family "tRNA". Rfam says of the family: Transfer RNA (tRNA) molecules are approximately 80 nucleotides in length. Their secondary structure includes four short double-helical elements and three loops (D, anti-codon, and T loops). Lineage: Eukaryota; Metazoa; Chordata; Mammalia; Rodentia; Caviidae. The record is from Rfam by way of RNAcentral.